Molecule: ribosomal RNA, 279 nt
Filed under: uncultured bacterium
Lineage: Bacteria
Description: partial 16S ribosomal RNA
Rfam family: Bacterial small subunit ribosomal RNA
Source: RNAcentral
UGCCAGCAGCCGCGGUAAUACGGAGGGUGCGAGCGUUAAUCGGAUUUAUUGGGCGUAAAGGGCGUCUAGGCGGGGAUGUAAGUCAGACGUGAAAUCCCGGGGCUCAACCUCGGAACUGCAUUUGAAACUACAUCUCUAGAGGGUAGGCGGAGAGAACGGAAUUCCACAUGUAGCGGUGAAAUGCGUAGAUAUGUGGAAGAACACCCGUGGCGAAGGCGGUUCUCUAGCUUACUCCUGACGCUGAAGCGCGAAAGCAAGGGGAGCGAACAGGAUUAGAUA